RNAcentral lists this ribosomal RNA (119 nucleotides) under Pteropus alecto (black flying fox). Lineage: Eukaryota; Metazoa; Chordata; Mammalia; Chiroptera; Pteropodidae. The record is from RNAcentral.
AUUUCCGGCCAUGCUACCCUGAACAAGCCCAAUCCCAUCUGAUCUUGGAAGCUAAGCAGGGUCGGGCCUGGUUAGUACCUGGAUGGAAGACCACUUAUGAAGACCAGGUGCUGUAGGCG